This 18-nucleotide ribosomal RNA is filed under the name Gyrodon sp. 1_926. RNAcentral's name for it is "partial 18S ribosomal RNA". Lineage: Eukaryota; Fungi; Basidiomycota; Agaricomycetes; Boletales; Gyrodontaceae. The record is from RNAcentral.
GCGGAGGAUCAUUAUCGA